GGCUGGGUAGCUCAGCGGUAGAGCACACGUUUCAUAAGCGUUAGGUCGAGAGUUCGACUCUCUCCCCAGCCACAA
RNAcentral lists this transfer RNA (75 nucleotides) under Candidatus Roizmanbacteria bacterium RIFCSPHIGHO2_01_FULL_35_10. RNAcentral's name for it is "tRNA-Met". It matches the Rfam family "tRNA". Rfam says of the family: Transfer RNA (tRNA) molecules are approximately 80 nucleotides in length. Their secondary structure includes four short double-helical elements and three loops (D, anti-codon, and T loops). Further hydrogen bonds mediate the characteristic L-shaped molecular structure. tRNAs have two regions of fundamental functional importance: the anti-codon, which is responsible for specific mRNA codon recognition, and the 3' end, to which the tRNAs corresponding amino acid is attached (by aminoacyl-tRNA synthetases). tRNAs cope with the degeneracy of the genetic code in two manners: having more than one tRNA (with a specific anti-codon) for a particular amino acid; and 'wobble' base-pairing, i.e. permitting non-standard base-pairing at the 3rd anti-codon position. The record is from RNAcentral. RNAcentral also lists the same sequence under 1 other name. Lineage: Bacteria; Candidatus Roizmaniibacteriota.